Paramuricea clavata is the source of this 278-nucleotide non-coding RNA. NCBI's taxonomy places the organism in Eukaryota, Metazoa, Cnidaria, Anthozoa, Malacalcyonacea, Plexauridae. The record is from the annotation of a GenBank genome assembly.
CUCUGAAUAUUUUAAUACUUUCCCUCAAAAUAUCUUUUGAGCGAGUGGGCAGGGGAAUGGUUAACGACUUGUUUUGCUUGGACGGCGACGGAUUCAAGAUUUCUUUUUUCAAACGAUCAAAAUCCCACUUAUUUGGAUCAUAAUUGCUAACCAGUAAUAGUACGCAACAUUCGGGGAAAAGUUAUAUGAAAUCAACUGUAAUAUUAACAUGUUGCCUGCUAUUUCAAUGUGAUAGAUAUUAGUAUUAAAUUAUAUGACAAUUUCUUAUGUGCUUCUUG